UGGGGAAUUUUGGACAAUGGGCGAAAGCCUGAUCCAGCAAUGCCGCGUGUGUGAAGAAGGCCUUCGGGUUGUAAAGCACUUUUAUCCGGAGCGAAAUCUCUUAGGCUAAUAUCCUGAGAGUCUGACGGUACCGGAGGAAUAAGCACCGGCUAACUACGUGCCAGCAGCCGCGGUAAUACGUAGGGUGCGAGCGUUAAUCGGAAUUACUGGGCGUAAAGCGUGCGCAGGCGGUUGUGUAAGACAGAUGUGAAAGCCCCGGGCUUAACCUGGGAACUGCAUUUGUGACUGCACGGCUAGAGUGUGUCAGAGGGAGGUGGAAUUCCGCGUGUAGCAGUGAAAUGCGUAGAGAUGCGGAGGAACACCGAUGGCGAAGGCAGCCUCCUGGGAUAACACUGACGCUCAUGCACGAAAGCGUGGGGAGCAAACAGG
Molecule: ribosomal RNA, 429 nt
Filed under: uncultured bacterium
Lineage: Bacteria
Description: bacterial SSU rRNA
Rfam family: Bacterial small subunit ribosomal RNA
Source: RNAcentral